RNAcentral lists this unclassified non-coding RNA (1266 nucleotides) under Hevea brasiliensis (rubber tree). Lineage: Eukaryota; Viridiplantae; Streptophyta; Magnoliopsida; Malpighiales; Euphorbiaceae. The record is from RNAcentral.
AAAUGAAAUACAUUUAUUAUAUUGUUUUGUUUCAAAUACAACUUUAUAUGACAUUUGAAAGGAAGGGAAGAAAGAGAUAAACCUUGUAUGUAUGUAUUGUAUAAUGUUGUACGUGAGUGACCAUAGAGGCCACAAAUCAACCAGCCAUUAAUCAAUAUAAACGAAAUGAAUCGGGUAAUCAAAUCCACUUAUUCCAACUUCGAAUAGAGGAAAAGUUAAGAUCAGAAUCCUGGACCCAGCACGCUUCUUGUUAAAGACAAACCAACUGGAUAAGACCUGUGAAUCCUCAUUUUGCUAGCAACUGGACCUUUGGCAAAAUAGUCAGUAAUAUCUUUUCCUUCUGUACCCGUAAACGACUUUGGUGGCACACUUGAUUCAUUAGAUUCGACAAUGAAUUCAAGCCCCUUCACAGAACUUUCCUUGGGAGUCGCCUUUGAAUGCUCUAUCAGCUUAGCCUCGAUGCCCUGAAUAACCUUAGUAUUUUGAACAUCCUUAAUGCCCCCAGCAGCUUGGCACAAGUACCACAAACCAGAAUUAGUCACAUCCUGGUUACUCUCAAGAAGCUCAAUCUUCCCUUCCAAUCCAGACACCAUCUCAUGGAUUAAGUUUAUAUCGAAACCAAUUUGAUUUAGAUUAGCCUUAACAUCUCUCACAUCAUUAGUAAUAAGGUUUGAGAUCUCAAUUUGCUCAUCUAGCUUCCAGUCCAAGUUUUCCAGCCUCUUAGUCAAAUGUCUUCUUGUAGAAGCCAAUGCAUCAGAUACGUUGUCCAACUGCUUAGACACAGAUGCAACAGCAUUCGCCAUAUUAUGCUUUGUGACAUACAUUACAUCAGAAAAUGACCAACCCUUCCACUUCAUGUAACAAUAUCCCAUCGCCCCAACUGCGGCAGCCGGAAGAAUGUAAGAACCAUAGCUCCCACUGGAGGAAGAAUCCUUAUUGAAAAUAGUAAUUGGAUUUGAUAUGCUCAUCUCCCGGAUCUCUUGUGCUAAUUGUCGAAUCUGAGCUGCUAGAAGAGCAGUGUCAUAUUUACCAGGAGAUGUCUCAGCUGCAUUCACACCAUUUAUCACCUCCUGAAGCUGCGAGAUCAGAUCGGAUAAUCGUCCACUCUUCAAUAUUACUGACCCAGUCAAACCUGCGCCGACGAGUAUGAGUACUUUGGAAGUGGCGACGCCGGUUUGCAUCGCCAUGUUUCGGUGUUGUGAAGCCGCCGCCGGUGGAACUAAUCGUUGAAUUUCAAUAUCUCCGGCGAACUUAUACCUUUCCCUU